GGGUCGUCCCCAUACCCCGUCCGGUAUGGGCACCAAAACACAUAAGGUCUCCAUACCCCGUACAGUAUGAGAGACCACAAUCCCGGUAGGGUUCCCUACGGACCCGGUCCGUCCACCAUCUCCCAGGAUAUCUAGUCAGGCUGACCACAUUAUACAAUUAUCAAUUUACGUAACCUUUCAUUCCCCUUUUCCUCAGUCAGCAUCAUCAAAUCACACACAAACAAGCAACCAGUAAUUCAUGCCAAACCAGACAACAUACAACAUCGGGUUCUCAGUCAUUCAACCCGUAAUCAAUAAAACAGUGAUAUAUGCACACGAAACUAUGAAAUGAAAACAUCAGACCUCAUACGACAUUUAAAAUCGUAAAAUAGGCCAAACAAUAGCUAACCGACAAACACACCAGACUCGGACUCCAUUAGCGACCUUAAGCAAUUUC
Molecule: long non-coding RNA, 436 nt
Filed under: Carica papaya (papaya)
Lineage: Eukaryota; Viridiplantae; Streptophyta; Magnoliopsida; Brassicales; Caricaceae
Description: long non-coding RNA (CPAP_LNC000880)
Source: RNAcentral